Molecule: ribosomal RNA, 730 nt
Filed under: uncultured bacterium
Lineage: Bacteria
Description: bacterial SSU rRNA
Rfam family: Bacterial small subunit ribosomal RNA
Source: RNAcentral
AACAGGAUUAGAUACCCUGGUAGUCCACGCCGUAAACGAUGUCGACCAGCCGUUGGGUGCCUAGCGCACUUUGUGGCGAAGUUAACGCGAUAAGUCGACCGCCUGGGGAGUACGGCCGCAAGGUUAAAACUCAAAUGAAUUGACGGGGGCCCGCACAAGCGGUGGAGCAUGUGGUUUAAUUCGAUGCAACGCGAAGAACCUUACCUACUCUUGACAUCCUGCGAAUUUGGUAGAGAUACCUUAGUGCCUUCGGGAACGCAGAGACAGGUGCUGCAUGGCUGUCGUCAGCUCGUGUUGUGAAAUGUUGGGUUAAGUCCCGUAACGAGCGCAACCCUUGUCCUUAUUUGCCAGCGCGUAAUGGCGGGAACUCUAAGGAGACUGCCGGUGACAAACCGGAGGAAGGUGGGGACGACGUCAAGUCAUCAUGGCCCUUACGAGUAGGGCUACACACGUGCUACAAUGGUCGGUACAAAGGGUUGCCAACUCGCGAGAGUGAGCCAAUCCCGAAAAGCCGAUCUCAGUCCGGAUCGGAGUCUGCAACUCGACUCCGUGAAGUCGGAAUCGCUAGUAAUCGUGGAUCAGAAUGCCACGGUGAAUACGUUCCCGGGCCUUGUACACACCGCCCGUCACACCAUGGGAGUGGACUGCACCAGAAGUGGUUAGCCUAACGCAAGAGGGCGAUCACCACGGUGUGGUUCAUGACUGGGGGUGAAGUCGUAACAAGGUAACC